UAGCUCAGUGGUAGAGCAGUCGGCUGUUAACUGACCUUAUUAGGUUCAAAUCCUAC
Molecule: transfer RNA, 56 nt
Filed under: Phaseolus vulgaris (common bean)
Lineage: Eukaryota; Viridiplantae; Streptophyta; Magnoliopsida; Fabales; Fabaceae
Rfam family: tRNA
About the family: Transfer RNA (tRNA) molecules are approximately 80 nucleotides in length.
Source: Rfam by way of RNAcentral